GCUUCAUACAUGCAAGUCGAACGAGAACAAGAGCUUGCUCUUGUGGAAAGUGGCGGACGGUGAGUAACAUGUAGGAAAUCUGCCCUUUAGCGGGGGACAACAGUUGGAAACGACUGCUAAUACCCCAUAUGAGCUAAGUUGAAAUACUUAUCUUGAAAACUCCGGUGCUAAAGGAUGAGCCUGCACCUGAUUAGCUAGUUGGUGAGGUAACGGCCCACCAAGGCGACGAUCAGUAGCCGGACUGAGAGGUUGACCGGCCACAUUGGGACUGAGAUACGGCCCAGACUCCUACGGGAGGCAGCAGUGGGGAAUAUUGGGCAAUGGGCGCAAGCCUGACCCAGCAACGCCGCGUGAAGGAAGAAGGCUUUCGGGUUGUAAACUUCUUUUGUCGAGGAAGAGUAGAAGACUGUACUCGGCGAAUAAGCCACGGCUAACUACGUG
RNAcentral lists this ribosomal RNA (441 nucleotides) under uncultured bacterium. RNAcentral describes it as "bacterial SSU rRNA". It matches the Rfam family "Bacterial small subunit ribosomal RNA", at positions 46 to 507 of the family's 1533-position model. The record is from RNAcentral.